AUCAAUAACAAGAAGCAUCAUAGAAGAAGAAAGUGAAGGUAAAAUAAUAU
This 50-nucleotide non-coding RNA is filed under the name Trypanosoma brucei brucei. The record is from RNAcentral. Lineage: Eukaryota; Euglenozoa; Kinetoplastea; Trypanosomatida; Trypanosomatidae.